Molecule: transfer RNA, 67 nt
Filed under: Colpocephalum griffoneae
Lineage: Eukaryota; Metazoa; Arthropoda; Insecta; Psocodea; Menoponidae
Description: tRNA-Lys
Source: RNAcentral
CUUUAGAUGGCUGAGAAAUAAGCAUUGAUCUUUUAAAUCAAGAACGGUUUUAUUUAACCUCUAAAGG